This 372-nucleotide unclassified non-coding RNA is filed under the name fungal sp. RNAcentral's name for it is "partial internal transcribed spacer region". The stretch from base 1 to 46 matches the Rfam family "Eukaryotic small subunit ribosomal RNA", at positions 1786 to 1831 of the family's 1831-position model. Lineage: Eukaryota; Fungi. The record is from RNAcentral.
AAGUCGUAACAAGGUUUCCGUAGGUGAACCUGCGGAAGGAUCAUUAAAGGACUGGAUUUGUGUUGUUGCUGUCUUUGUGCGAAGUAUGUGCACCACAAAUCAACUCUUCUUAAUUAACCACUGUGCACUUUUUGUGGACCCUCAGCAGAAAGCGGUCAGAGUCUUUGCGCUUAACACGCGCUAGACUUUUUUUGGCUUAAUCUAUGCGCUUAGCAAAGCGCUAGACGUGCUUAUAUGCGCAUAUAUGCGGGGGUUUCACGUUUUUUUACUACACACUAUUAUAAAACUUUAGAAUGUAUCGUUAGAGUUGGGACUCGCGCCCUUCUUUAAACAAUGUUAAUACAACUUUCGACAACGGAUCUCUUGGCUCUC